GACGAACGCUGGCGGCGUGCUUAACACAUGCAAGUCGAACGAUGAAGCCGGAGCUUGCUCCGGUGGAUUAGUGGCGAACGGGUGAGUAACACGUGAGCAAUCUGCCCUUGACUCUGGGAUAACUGCGGGAAACUGUAGCUAAUACCGGAUACGACACCUUGGGGCAUCCCAGGGUGUGGAAAGAAUUUCGGUCAAGGAUGAGCUCGCGGCCUAUCAGCUAGUUGGUGAGGUAAUGGCUCACCAAGGCGACGACGGGUAGCCGGCCUGAGAAGGUGACCGGCCACACUGGAGCUGAGACAAGGUCCAGACUCCUACGGGAGGCAGCAGUGGGGAAUAUUGCACAAUGGGCGAAAGCCUGAUGCAGCAACGCCGCGUGAGGGAUGAAGGCCUUCGGGUUGUAAACCUCUUUUAGCAGGGAAGAAGCGAAAGUGACGGUACCUGCAGAAAAAGCACCGGCUAAUUACGUGCCAGCAGCCGCGGUAA
RNAcentral lists this ribosomal RNA (483 nucleotides) under uncultured bacterium. Its description in RNAcentral is "partial 16S ribosomal RNA". It matches the Rfam family "Bacterial small subunit ribosomal RNA", at positions 28 to 523 of the family's 1533-position model. The record is from RNAcentral.